This 406-nucleotide ribosomal RNA is filed under the name uncultured bacterium. RNAcentral's name for it is "bacterial SSU rRNA". It matches the Rfam family "Bacterial small subunit ribosomal RNA", at positions 355 to 775 of the family's 1533-position model. The record is from RNAcentral.
UGAGGAAUAUUGCACAAUGGGCGCAAGCCUGAUGCAGCGACGCCGCGUGGGGGAUGACGGCCUUCGGGUUGUAAACCCUUGUCAGUGGGGAAGAAAAAAAUGACUGUACCCACAGAGGAAGCCCCGGCUAACUACGUGCCAGCAGCCGCGGUAAGACGUAGGGGGCGAGCGUUGUUCGGAAUUACUGGGCGUAAAGAGCUCGUAGGCUGGAAAUUAAGUCUUUGAACAAAUCUCCCGGCUCAACCGGGAACCGUUUAGGGAUACUGAUUUUCUUGAGAACAGGAGAGGGGAAUGGAAUUCCUAGUGUAGCGGUGAAAUGCGUAGAUAUUAGGAGGAACACCAGUGGCGAAGGCGGUUCUCUGGCCUGUUUCUGACGCUGAGGAGCGAAAGCUGGGGGAGCGAACGG